This is a long non-coding RNA of Bombina bombina (fire-bellied toad), 557 nucleotides long. RefSeq lists it as uncharacterized. NCBI's taxonomy places the organism in Eukaryota, Metazoa, Chordata, Amphibia, Anura, Bombinatoridae. The record is from RefSeq and is a predicted model, not a curated record. The transcript is spliced from 3 exons.
GUCUCCUAAAGAAACUGAUGGAGCUUACUGCAGACCACGCUAUGCUGGAGAGAGCAAGACACAUGCACAUACCUGAGCCCAAGAUCAAAGGAUACCAAGAGAAAGAGGACAUUUUGAUAACAACUACGAUAAAGCCAUUGAAACAGUGCAUGCUGGGAAAAGAGGAAACAUGGCUCUUGGGAUUCCCCUUGUAUUCAGACUGGAUGAGCAGCCGGUUGUCUUUAGCAUAACAAUAACGGGAGACCUUCUACUGUCAAGCAUGUGUAAAGAUAAAACUGCACAGAUGGGCCUUCAUGACAAUUGUUUUGUCUCUUCUUAAAAGGAUUCUUCCCACCUUCCAUCCAAAGAAAAGGAUACAGGCUCUAUGCUUGACAAGAUGUCGUUGUCACAUCUUCCUGUUUGUAAGGCAGGUUCAUAAUUACAUGUUGUGAAGGUAUUUAAAAACUAUAAUUCUGAUUAAUGGUUCUAGUGUUUAGAGAAUUGAUGUGCACAGAUUAAAAAAUUCUUUGGAUGAAUCAUUUGUCCUGAAAAAUAAAUAGAUGUAUUGUUCCAUGUGA